Long non-coding RNA from Triticum dicoccoides, 231 nucleotides. RefSeq lists it as uncharacterized. The record is from RefSeq and is a predicted model, not a curated record. Lineage: Eukaryota; Viridiplantae; Streptophyta; Magnoliopsida; Poales; Poaceae. The transcript is spliced from 3 exons.
AUCAGUGAUUACUGUAGGAGUCCAGGAAACCAUCUGAAGAGUUUGCGGCAUACAUUAAGCAGAGGGGUUACAACCUUCAUAAUGUAGAGGCUUAUGGACAGAUGCUACAGAAUGUUGGUUUCCAUGAUGUCAUUGCUGAAGACCGCACUGAUCAGUUCCUGAAAGUUUUACAUAGGGAGCUAGCCGAAGUUGAAAAGAACAAAGAUGAAUUUCUGGCUGAUUUCGGUCAGG